AAUUGUGUAUUCUAUAAGGAUUUUGGAUUGCAAAUCUAAAGGAGGGCUAGGCCCCAUAAUUU
Molecule: transfer RNA, 62 nt
Filed under: Scolytus schevyrewi
Lineage: Eukaryota; Metazoa; Arthropoda; Insecta; Coleoptera; Curculionidae
Description: tRNA-Cys
Source: RNAcentral